UCGGGGUAAGAACCACGCCACAAUGUAGGUUGGCGCGGUUUUGGCCAGUGGAGGAGUCUCGCAAGUGGAUCAGCACGUCGCGUUAGUAGGUGGGAAGAUGAUAAGGGAAGAGAGAUAGGGGUGUUAGGGGUAUUUAAUAUGUGCCAUCCAUGUAUGGAUGGAACGGUUAAAAAAAACGUGUAAUGGAUCGUUGUAUCUGGAUGACAUAAAGACAGACUAUUUCUAAAACAUUGUAGAUGACCGAGCUCUAUAAAUCUUUUGGAAGAACACAAGCUAGCUUAAGGUAGGUGUGAGCUAAGUGAAAAAUAA
RNAcentral lists this long non-coding RNA (309 nucleotides) under Setaria viridis. Its description in RNAcentral is "long non-coding RNA (SVIR_LNC003458)". The record is from RNAcentral. Lineage: Eukaryota; Viridiplantae; Streptophyta; Magnoliopsida; Poales; Poaceae.